UAACUACUCAUUUUCCCUAUUAUAAAUAUUUUCCUCAUUAUGAAAUUCUUUUUUCCUUCCACAUCUUCAUUCUAGGUUUUAAGUUCACAUUAUAGGGGCUUUUUCUGGAUUUUUUUGGAUCGUAUAUUGAUUCCAUUUCAAUUGUACUUGCUUAAUUAUGUAUUAUUAGUGAUUGUGCUAUAUCUUUAGUUAUCAAUGUAUUUGUAAAAACUCCUUAAGAUGUAUAUGUUAAAAAAAAUAUUUGUUCAUAUAAAAGGCUUUUUAAUAGUUAGAUAUAUAUUGAAAAAUAAAUUAUUUAUUAAUUUAAUAAAUCUGUCAUAU
This 321-nucleotide long non-coding RNA is filed under the name Gossypium barbadense (sea-island cotton). RNAcentral's name for it is "long non-coding RNA (GBAR_LNC000402)". The record is from RNAcentral. Lineage: Eukaryota; Viridiplantae; Streptophyta; Magnoliopsida; Malvales; Malvaceae.